RNAcentral lists this transfer RNA (78 nucleotides) under Tsukamurella paurometabola. Its description in RNAcentral is "tRNA-Lys(ctt)". The record is from RNAcentral. Lineage: Bacteria; Bacillati; Actinomycetota; Actinomycetes; Mycobacteriales; Tsukamurellaceae.
GCGGUUGUAGUUGGCGAAGGGCAGCAGGCCGCCCUUCUUGAGCGCGGCGACGGUCUCGUUCAUCGCGGGGCUGCUGCC